This is a long non-coding RNA of Lutra lutra (Eurasian river otter), 1107 nucleotides long. RefSeq lists it as uncharacterized. The transcript has 8 exons. The record is from RefSeq and is a predicted model, not a curated record. Lineage: Eukaryota; Metazoa; Chordata; Mammalia; Carnivora; Mustelidae.
GCAGGGCUCAAUCCCAGGACUGGGGAUCACGACCUGAGCCGAAGGCAGACAUUUAACCACCUGAGCCACCCAGACGCUCCUGGGAUGUGUUUUGAAGAGAAACUGCCUGGCAGAAGCUACACCUGGAUUCCCACUGCUGAACCCAUGUAACUGGCAUUUGGACUUUUCUACCCAGUUACCACCUUACGGUGGAAAUCUGUAAAUUCUUAAAGGGGUCUCUGCGGAGCUGUAGUGAGCGAAGGGGGAAGGGCUCAUUCUAUUUCCAGAGAGUAAUAGGGCUAGUGGAGUUUACAGCCAUACCCAGCUCAUCACACUUUCAUCAGGGUCUCAAGCAACAGAAACAGCAAUUUGGCAAAAUGAGACAGUGACUGGUUAUUCAACAAGACCCCUGAUGAGUAUUAUCUCAUUCAUGUGGUGAAUACAAUUAUCACAGAUGAGAAAACUGAAGCUCAGAGAGACCUACAGGUGACCUGACCAAGAUUAUGCAGUGGUAGAGGGAAGAUCUGAGCCCAGGGUUGUCUGAAUCCAGAGUGCAAAAAUCGUAAUCACCACGUGAAAAGGUUAUAAAGAAAUAAUGUGAAGACAUUCCCUAUUGGAUCUCAAUCCAAAUCGUUAUCCACAUUCAGACUGAAGAAUGUAGUGAGAUUUUCAGUUUUGUGAGAGUCUGUCCCUUCAAGGUGACUGUAAACUCCGAGGGGUCAGAGAUCACACCUGUCGGGCGCACACGUCAUGUCCAGAACCCGGCCCAGUGCUUGCUACACAAGAAAAAUGACAGGGACUCACUUUCCAAGAAAUUACAGUACGUUCAAUGACUUCCCAUCAAGAGUGAGCACUGUUCCGUGUCCUGCCAUUGGAUGAAGGGGCUAAGACUUGGAUUUUUCCGGAGGACCACAUGAGUGGCCAUUUCUGGAUGAACGAGGAGCUAAGCACCAUCUUGGGACCAGGACCCCUUCCCAAGCCAGUUCUCCUGGGACACCUCUCCGCGGACCGUCUCUCCCGGGUGGAAUGACAGUGGCUCUCUCUGCCUCCCAGGCUCGGAGGUAGGCUCUGCAGCGGGAAUGGCUCAGGAAUUCCAACCCCCCCAGGACCGGAGGACCUGCUGAGGCU